This 253-nucleotide ribosomal RNA is filed under the name uncultured bacterium. RNAcentral describes it as "partial 16S ribosomal RNA". It matches the Rfam family "Bacterial small subunit ribosomal RNA", at positions 524 to 776 of the family's 1533-position model. The record is from RNAcentral.
UACGAAGGGUGCAAACGUUGCUCGGAAUUAUUGGGCGUAAAGCGCACGUAGGCGGUUUGUUAAGUCGGAUGUGAAAUCCCUCGGCUCAACUGAGGAAGUGCAUCCGAAACUGGCAGGCUUGAGUACUAAAGAGGGUCGCGGAAUUCCCGGUGUAGAGGUGAAAUUCGUAGAUAUCGGGAGGAACACCGGUGGCGAAGGCGGCGACCUGGGUAGAUACUGACGCUGAGGUGCGAAAGCGUGGGGAGCAAACAGG